AAGACCUUGCGCUUUUGGAGCGGCCGAUGCCUGAUUAGCUUGUUGGUAAGGUAAAAGCUUACCAAGGCUUCGAUCAGUAGCUGGUCUGAGAGGACGGCCAGCCACACUGGGACUGAGACACGGCCCAGACUCCUACGGGAGGCAGCAGUGGGGAAUUUUGGACAAUGGGGGCAACCCUGAUCCAGCCAUGCCGCGUGAGUGAAGAAGGCCUUCGGGUUGUAAAGCUCUUUCAGCCGGAACGAAACGGUUACGGAUAAUACCCGUGACUACUGACGGUACCGGAAGAAGAAGCACCGGCUAACUACGUGCCAGCAGCCGCGGUAAUACGUAGGGUGCAAGCGUUAAUCGGAACUACUGGGCGUAAAGCGUGCGCAGGUGGUUUUGUAAGUCAGAUGUGAAAGCCCCGGGCUCAACCUGGGAACU
RNAcentral lists this ribosomal RNA (423 nucleotides) under uncultured bacterium. Its description in RNAcentral is "bacterial SSU rRNA". It matches the Rfam family "Bacterial small subunit ribosomal RNA", at positions 207 to 622 of the family's 1533-position model. The record is from RNAcentral.